RNAcentral lists this transfer RNA (79 nucleotides) under Cynanthus latirostris. Its description in RNAcentral is "tRNA-His". The stretch from base 1 to 69 matches the Rfam family "tRNA". From Rfam's summary of the family: Transfer RNA (tRNA) molecules are approximately 80 nucleotides in length. Their secondary structure includes four short double-helical elements and three loops (D, anti-codon, and T loops). Further hydrogen bonds mediate the characteristic L-shaped molecular structure. tRNAs have two regions of fundamental functional importance: the anti-codon, which is responsible for specific mRNA codon recognition, and the 3' end, to which the tRNAs corresponding amino acid is attached (by aminoacyl-tRNA synthetases). tRNAs cope with the degeneracy of the genetic code in two manners: having more than one tRNA (with a specific anti-codon) for a particular amino acid; and 'wobble' base-pairing, i.e. permitting non-standard base-pairing at the 3rd anti-codon position. The record is from RNAcentral. Lineage: Eukaryota; Metazoa; Chordata; Aves; Apodiformes; Trochilidae.
GCAAGUAUAGUUUAACCAAAACAUUAGCUUGUGAUCCUAAAAAUAGAAGUUAGACCCUUCUUACCUGCCAAGGGGAGGU